AGAAACUUAGGUUAAAAGACCAAGAGCCUUCAAAGCUCUAAGUAGGAGUUACACCCUCCUAGUUUCUG
RNAcentral lists this transfer RNA (68 nucleotides) under Breviceps poweri (Power's rain frog). Its description in RNAcentral is "tRNA-Trp". It matches the Rfam family "tRNA". Rfam says of the family: Transfer RNA (tRNA) molecules are approximately 80 nucleotides in length. Their secondary structure includes four short double-helical elements and three loops (D, anti-codon, and T loops). The record is from RNAcentral. Lineage: Eukaryota; Metazoa; Chordata; Amphibia; Anura; Brevicipitidae.